Molecule: long non-coding RNA, 3435 nt
Organism: Oncorhynchus kisutch (coho salmon)
Lineage: Eukaryota; Metazoa; Chordata; Actinopteri; Salmoniformes; Salmonidae
Source: Ensembl
CUAUCUGUUUUGUAGAUUCUCCUCUCUUCCUGUAACCCAAAUUUCCCUCUGUAGACCAUGCCCUGUCAUGCCUUCCCAGUCGUCCUUUAUCUUAGCGAACGAUCAAAGGAAGAGGAGAUCGAGGAACGUAUCGAAGUGAAUCUGUCUCAAAGCUUUACUGAUACCAAGGAGCAAUUAUUAAGGAAUGUAUUAGGAAAGGUCGACCAAGCCAUGCGUAUGACUGACCCUCUCCAGCAGGUUCAAGUGCCCCAGUGCAGGUCUGUUCCAAAGUGGGUUUGGGAUGGAGGGGGAGGGGAAAGUGCUCUAUUGGACAGUCCCCUGGGACAGGAGGCUUCUAGCACAGAGAGGCAAGAGGCCUGCGGGACCCCUGUUCAAAUUCACAUGCCUUAAAGGGUCUAUCUGUCAACUACAACUCCCACACUAGGGUGAAUGUGACUUCCUGUCUGUAGCCCAUGUGAUGGAUAACCGAAAAAACAUGUUCAUAUUAAACAUCAAUGGAUUCUCUGCUUAUGGCAUCGUCAGGGAAGAUGACUCACCCACUGUCCCUAUACGUGCACUUAUCUUGUUAUUCUACAAACUCCCAGUUGUUCCUAAGAAGAGGUCCAUCCUUAAUGUGUUGUUGCUUCCCAGAAAUGUUAUGAUCAGGGAGGUGAAUAGAUUAGAGGUGUCAACCAAUACGUUGGCUGGAAUUUGCAUGUUUUGGUAACAUUAAUACUUGGAUAAUGUGUUAUAGUUUAAACAUUGGAUAACAAAAUGUUAUUUUAUGAAAACAUUCAAAGGUACAGGAGGAGUGGAAGAGAAGGAAUGGAGACCAAGAAACCUGCAUUGAAACUAACGCUCACUGCCAACUAAUCCCAAAGCAACAAUACACCCUCUCCACUGAUCUUACAGAUGAUCAUCAAAUAAGACCAAAGGUGAUAUCUGAUAUGAGAAUGAAAAUGUAUUUGCACAUUCAAAUUAUAUAACUGACGAACUGUAUUUUACACCUGGAUGCAGCAUUUGAAAACUACGAAAACUAUGAAAACUACAUCCCAACAUUUCAGUUGUUCUUACAAACUGUUGUUGAACAAGUUGAUCUUCUCCUGAAAGAAAAUGAUGGUGCAGAGUCUGUGUGGGAUAGACUUGUCUGGCUUCCAGGUAACACAAUGUUGCUGUACUAGUAUUGCAGUUGUUGUUAUUGAAUUAGUACAUCUUUAUAUCAUAAGUUUUGGUUAUAAUGGACGCAGUCUUAUAUCACCGUUAAUCAGACGGUCUUAUUUUCUCAUUCGCAGUUUCACCAACAGAAAUCAUCUCUACAGGUAACUUGAUAUUCCACUGAGAUUUACCAUUUUAAACAUCACAAUUUAAUGAUAUUACAAUGAUAAACAAAGACAUUAUGGAAUUAAAGAAAUCUGAUUCGUAGUGCUGCUCCUGUGUAGUAAAAAUAAUAUUGACUUGAGGUCAUAAUUUAUCUUCAAAGUCUUGCAUACAUCUUGAUUUAAUCAUCCUAAACUGUAUUUUACAAAUAGUGUUUUCCCUCUCUCAGCGUCCGGCCCUGCCCUGUAGCCCCUCCUGCCAAUCCUCCUACUCUCUCAGGAGGGGACUUCAUAACAAAACACAGAGUGAAACUGGAGGAACGCAUGGGUGAAUUGCAGCCCACACUCCUCAAGCUUCAGGACUGUAACGUACUGAACGAUGUGGAGCGCUGAGAAGAUUGACAACAUGAGUUCACGGAUCCAGAGGAACAAGGCCCUUCUGGACAUGAUUGUGAGGAAGGGACCUCGUGCACAGGAACAGCUCUACCAGGCCCUAAAUAAAGAGGACCCUUACCUGGUGGAACACCUGGAAGAGGAGACAUCCUGACCAUAGAUUUGUGUGUAAGGUUAUUCAACGGUUGUGCCCAAAAUGACUACAACAUGUAUAUGGACCAGGAGCCAAGAGAUCAGGACAGGCUUGCUACACAGGUUCACUGGCUGCAAACAGCAAGCUUCAGGACUUUGCUAUUUAAUGGCAUUAUAUAUGUUUUAAUCUCUGUAUAAAAUACAUAUGUAGAUAGUAAGUAUAUAUUUACAAGCCUUUUUACAUUUUCAUGUCAGUAUUUUAUACAUACAGAUUUAUGCAUCAGUCAUUUCUAUAGAUGUUCAAUGUCGCUGGAAUUUCUGUCCGGCACACUUGUGUUUUUAUUGGUCUCAUACUGUGAUGGAGAGAUGCUUGUAUAAAAGUUGCGUCAUUCUUGUCCAUAUAGAAUGUACUGUAUGAAAAUGACCAUAUGCCAUUCAACAGACUAGGCCUGGCUAUAUCUGUGGACCAGAGAUCCAUGCUAAGUGGUGACAGGCACCCUGUUCUACAAAAACAAAAAAUACAAUAACAGUGUGAGGUCAAUGUUCCGUGUUCAUAAUGCUCAAUAGUGUAAAGUUAUAUUACAUUUGAUCUGAGCUACUCCACCUGUGUCAAAACAUCCUGGGUGUGUCAUGUUUCCAUUGAAUAGCAGCUCUAUCCUAGCACGUCGUCCCUCGUUCCAAAAAACAGUUCACACAUUGAUGAGCCGCUUCCGGACCACAGAUUAAAAGGGCUCUGUUCAAUUGUCGUCGCAGAAAUGGAUCUUUACAGCGUGAUUGACAUUUUAAGGAAGUGUUCCCGCUUUUGUGGAGGCCGCAUUCACGGUAAACGCUGCAUAUGUUGGCUCAAUCGGAAAUGACCUUUACAUUUCUAUCAAAAUGUUAUUCGUCACAUGCUUCGUAAUGAACAGGUGUAGACUAACAGUGAAAUGCUUCCUUGCAGGCCCUUCCCAACAAUGUAGAGAGAAAGAAAAUAGAAAAGUUAUAACACAUAAUAAUAAAAGUAAAAAUAAAUACACAAUGAGUAACGAUAACUUGCCUAAAUACACAGGCACCAGGGCCGAGCCCAUGUGCAAGGGUACGAGGUAAUUGAGGUAGGUACAGUGCCUUCAGAAAGUAUCACACCCCUUGACUUUUUCCAUCUUUUAUUGUGGUACAGCCUGAAUUUUUUUUUAUGGAUUAAAUGUUAAUUUUCUGGCACUGGCCUACACACAAUACCCCAAUGUCAAAGUGGAAUUUUUAUAAAUGAAUUAAAAAUGAAAAGCUGAAAUGUCUUGAGUCAAUAAGUAUUCAACCCCAAUGUUCUGGAAAGCCUAAAUAAGUUCUGGAGUAAAGAUUUGCUUAACAAGUCAUAUAAUAAGUUGCUGACAUUGAAUAUCCCUUUGAGCAUGGUGAAGUUAUUAAUUACACUUUGGAUGGUGUAUCAAUACACCGUCACUACAAAGAUACAAGCGUCCUUCCUUACUCAGUUGCCGGAGAGGAAGGAAACCGCUCAGGGAUUUCACCAUGAGGACAAUGGUGACUUUAAAACUGUUACAGAGUUUAAUAGCUGUGAUAGAAAACUGAGGAUGGAUCAACAGCAUUGUAGUUACUCCACAAUACUAACCUAAUUGAUAGA